UGUCUUGUAAUUGGAAUGAUGGUGACGUAAAAUCUCACCAGAGUAACAAUUGGAGGGCAAGUCUGGUGCCAGCAGCCGCGGUAAUUCCAGCUCCAAUAGCGUAUAUUAAACUUGUUGCAGUUAAAAAGCUCGUAGUUGAAUUUCUGCGUUGCCCGACUCGGCUACUUGCCUUGUCUGGUUUCGCUUUUGGGGUUUUCCCCUUUUUACUUUGAGAAAAUUAGAGUGUUUCAAGCAGACUUGUGUCUUGAAUACUUCAGCAUGGAAUAAUAAAGUAGGACUUUGGUUCUAUUUUGUUGGUUUGUGAACCUUAGUAAUGGUUAAUAGGAACGGUUGGGGGCAUUCGUAUUUAACUGUCAGAGGUGAAAUUCUUAGAUUUGUUAAAGACGAACUACUGCGAAAGCAUUUGCCAAGGACGUUUUCAUUAAUCAAGAACGAAAGUUAGGGGAUCGAAGACGAUCAGAUACCGUCGUAGUCCUAACCAUAAAC
This 486-nucleotide ribosomal RNA is filed under the name Babesia gibsoni. RNAcentral's name for it is "SSU rRNA". It matches the Rfam family "Eukaryotic small subunit ribosomal RNA", at positions 499 to 1037 of the family's 1831-position model. Lineage: Eukaryota; Apicomplexa; Aconoidasida; Piroplasmida; Babesiidae. The record is from RNAcentral.